GGGCAGGCCAGCUAGAGUUUCUGGUCCUGACUCACCUCAGACUCAUGACCCAGCCCUGAUUUUUUUCUGACUUUUAUCCUUUCUGUGAUUCAGCUGCUUUUUCCCUCAAUUGUUUCUUUAUCUUUUCUAAAUCUUGGCUCUGAUUCCAAAGCUCAGAAUCACCCAGCGUUAGCUUUGUCUGAUAUCCUACAUCUAGGGUGCGACCUUUUCCAGUCUGAGGGCCACAUUUCCUUCCGAGAAACCUUCUAGGGGCCACAUGCCAGAAGUGGGUGGGAUCGGGAGCAAAAGUAGGUGGAGAAACAAAUGUUUGUUUUACUUUCUUACAGUAGGCUACUUUUCUACACAUGCAUAGAAAGAUAUAUUCCAACCAGGCAAAAAAACCUCGGGUGCAAAGCAGGGCUAGUGAAGGCUGCAGCCCUGGGAGAAGGGGGGUGGCCUAUAGGCCUGAGGCCCAGUCAGAAAGUCUGGGGUGGGGGCUGCAUUUGGCCCAGAGGCCUGAGGGGUGCCCAUUCUUAUUCCAUAAUUUUUGCAGGCUGAAAAUGAUAGUACUUGCCUAUAGCAGGUGAUUUGUGUUUUUGAUUUUAGCUCCCUGUGUGAUUUUAAAUAAAACAUUUCCUAUCACUGGUGAAAAAGAAAACAGCUUUCUAAUUGAUGGGAGUUGCUGCUGCAUGCUGUGUACUGACAUAAUAUGGCAUUUUACUCUUCAAACAGCUCCAGAAAUGCUGAGAUUUUUUUUUUUUUAAUUCUAACUUUCUUUGGUAAUUAUUUAUGCAGUCUACAGGCCCAAAUGAAACUUCCGGCUUGUACUCAUUGGGUUAUCAAAAUCUGAAAACACAUAGUGUGGGUUUUAACUUUUAGUUAAAAUCUGGGAUCUUACGGUCCCAGGUAAUCCACAAGCAAUCUCCGGUUGGAGCUAUCGCACAUACUUCUCUAGUCAGAGAAAAAUGGAGAUACUGUUCUUCUAGACAGUGAAGUAUUAUCUCUCUUUGAUCUUGCUGCCCUUGUAAAAGUAUACAUUUAAAACUCAAAUGUAUUACAUACAUGUAAUGUAUGCAAGGGACAGCUGGAGCAGAGUGUGCCACACUACCUGGUAUGAACAGGGUCGGUGUCAGGAGUAGCCAUUGCAGGGCACCUGUUGAAAGCCACACAUCUGCAGGGGGCCCAUUGCCCAUCUCUGAGGUCUCCAGAUCUCGGAGCUCCUCCUCUUGCUGCCUGCUCACUCUGAGCAUCCAGGAAUGAUAAGAGGGAGUAGAAAUGGAGACCCCUCCUCUGCUUCCUUCUGGAGAGUUCUGUGGUCUAGGCCCAGAAGGAGAGGUUGAACACAUGGGCAGUGGUGCCUCAGAGAAGGGACCAUACAGAAGCCUCCUCACUCAAGACCUACAGCCAGCAGUUGAUAUGAAGGCAAGACACCCAAAGGCACUGGCAAACCAGAAAAGCUGGCACAUCAUCACAGCCGCCCCCCUCCUCCACUCCAUGGUCAGCUAUCGUCUCAGCAAGAUGCAAUAUUGUUGAGAGAGCAGUAAAGAAGAAUGGAGACGUGCAUAAUAAUAAUAAUAAUAAUAAUAAUAAUAAUAACAACUUAUUAUUUAUGCUCCGCCCAUCUGGCUGAGUUUCCCUAGCCACUCUGGGCAGCUCCCAAUCGAGUGUUAAGAACAAUACAUUAAAUAUUAAAAACUUUUCUAAACAGGGCUGCCUUCAGAUGUCUUUUAAAAAUAGGAUAGCUGCUUAUUCCUUGACAUCUGAUGGGAGGGCAUUCCACAGGGCGGGCGCCAUUACCGAGAAGGCCCUCUGGUUCCCUGUAACCUCACUUCUUGCAAUGAGGGAUCCGCCAGAAGGCCCUCGGCGCUGGACCUCAGUGUCCGGGCUGAAUGAUGGAGGCGGAAACGCUCCUUCAGGUAUACAGGUCUGAGGUCGUUUUGGGCUUUAAAGGUUAGCACCUUGAAUUGUGCUCGGAAAUGUACUGGGAGCCAAUGCAGAUUUCUCAGGACCAGUGUUAUAUGGUCCUGGCAGCCACUCCCAGUCACCAGUCUAGCUGCCGCAUUCUGGAUUAAUUGCAGUUUCCAGGUCACCUUCAAAGGUAGCCCCACGUAGAGCGCAUUGCAGUAGUCCAAGCGGGAGAUAACUAGAGCAUGCACCACUUUGGCAAGACAGUCCGCGGGCAGGUAGGGUCUCAGCCUGCGUACCAGAUGGAGCUGGUAGACAGCUGCCCUGGACACAGAAUUAACCUGUGCCUCUAUGGAGAGUUGUGAGUCCAAAACGACUCCCAGGCUGUGCACCUGGUCCUUCAAGGGCACAGUUACCCCAUUCAGGACCAGGGAGUCCCCCAUGCCCGCCCGCCCCCUGUCCCCCAAAAACAGUAUUUCUGUCUUGUCAGGAUUCAUCCUCAAUCUGUUAGUCGCCAUCCAUCUUCCAACCACCUCCAGGCACUCACACAGCCCUUACUAUCUGAUAAUGUGCAGGAAUGACCCACUCUGUGAAGUGCAGCUGCAGCUGCACGCUGCCUACAGGGAAACAUUGAGCUGUCUGCAAAUAUAAUAAUGUCAUUGGAUUGUGCUGGUAGUUGCUGCUAGAAGCUACUGGCGAGACAUCCCCAUGCACAUCUGAAGUGUAAAAAGCACAGAUUCCAGAAGGCCCCUGUCUAAUAACCCAGAUUUACCUAUACAGAAGCAAUCUCUCUCACUUAGGGUCUUGACAGGAUACAGUGACGAGAACGAAAGUGUCCCAGUGCUUUCUCAUUCAUGUUGAUGGAGAAAGUGGCAUUCUCCCUGCCUUCUUGAAUGACGAUCACUUUGCAAAAGCAUUUGAGCAAAACAUUCCCUCUGUGCCUCGCAUCCAGUUGUUCAGAGUAAUUCUAUGACAAGCAGUUUUCACUGCAGAAAUAUACCUCUCCAAACCCCCUGCCGCUUGCAAUCUCCACAAGUGCUUGGCUUGUUUGUAUGUUUAAAUAGCUUGACUCCCAUGUGGAAGAAACAUUCAGAAUCCAGUGGACAUUAGAAAGUGUUUCCAGAGAUAUUUUAAAAAACUAUAUACCCAAGGGCCGCAAGACGAAGUUGAGAUUAAACAAUUUUUGGCAAAAAAUGGACUAUCUAAACUGUCACAAGAAAAUAGGACAACCCUGAACUCUAAAAUAACACGACAGGAGAUUGAACAAGCUAUUCAGAACAUGCAACUUGGCAAAUCUCCAGGGCCAGACGGGCUGACCUCCAAGUAUUACAAGACAUUAAAAGACUAUUUGAUACAACCCUUGAUGGAGGUUAGCAAUGAAAUUAUGGAGGGGAAGAGGGCACCGGACUCGUGGAAGGAAGCGUUUAUCACAUUGAUACCAAAGUCAGAAACUGAAAAGACACAACUGAAGAACUACCGUCCCAUCUCCCUUUUAAAUGUGGAUUACAAAAUAUUUGCAGAUAUUUUGGCAAGUAGAUUUAAAAAAAAGUUUUAAAUGAAGUAAUUCAUAAGGACCAGGCCGGUUUUCUCCCAGGUAGACAUCUGUUUGCUAACACAAGGAACAUUAUUGAUAUUUUGGAACUUCUCCAAACUGACAUAAAUACAAAAGCAGUUUUAAUUUUUAUAGAUGCGGAGAAGGCCUUUGAUAAUAUUUCUUGGAAAUUUAUGAUGGGAAACUUAAAAGAGAUGGGAGUGGGACGGGGUUUUGAGAAUGGGAUUGAGGCGAUAUACUCAGAACAGAAAGCUAAACUGAUAGUUAAUAAUGUGGUUACAGAAGAGUUCAAAAUUGAAAAAGGGACACGACAAGGUUGACCUUUUUCACCUUUGGUAUUUAUCUAGGUCCUGGAAGUGCUAUUGAACAUGAUUAGAGGGGACCAGUUGGUGGAAGGAAUUCAGGUUGGUCAGAAACAAUAUAAACUAAAAGCUUUCGCAGAUGACCUGGUUUUGACCUUGCAGAAGCCAGAGCCUAGUACGAAAAGAGUAUUACAAUUGAUUAAUGACUUUGGUCGGGUGGCGGGAUUUAAAUUAAAUAAACAGAAAACCAAGGUUUUGGGGAAAAAUUUGACCGAGACAGAGUCAGAACGGUUUCAGAAUGAGACGGAACUUAAUGUGGUUAAAAAAAGUAAAAUACCUAGGGGUAAACAUAACAGCAAAAAAUCUAAGUCUAUUUAAGGAUAAUUAUGAAAAAUGUUGGACAGAAAUUAAGAGAGACUUAGACAGUUGGUCAAAAUUGAAACUUUCUUUGUUAGGCCGAAUUGCUGCGAUUAAGAUGAAUGUAUUGCCAAGAAUGUUGUUUUUAUUUCAAACACUUCAGGUUUUGGACAAAAUGGAGUGCUUUCAGAAGUGGCAGAGAGACAUUUCGAAGUUUGUCUGGCAGGGCAAAAAGCCCAGAAUUAAGUUUAAGAUACUAACUGAUGCAAAACAAAGAGGGGGCUUUGCCCUGCCGGACUUAAGGUUGUAUUAUGAAGCCGCAGCGUUCUGCUGGCUAAAAGAUUGGCUACUUCUUGAAGACACUGAUGUGUUGGAUUUGGAGGGGUUUAACAAUGUUUUUGGAUGGCAUGCAUAUUUAUGGUAUGACAAAGUUAAAGCAAAUAAGGCCUUUAAGAACCAUAUUGUUAGAAAAUCACUGUUUAAUGUCUGGACAAAAUAUAAAGACUUGCUGGAAAAUAAAACACCAAGGUGGCUUUCACCUUUGGAAGCUAAGGCCCGAAAAGACCCAAUAUGGAGGCCAAAUGGCCAAAAUAUUGGGAAAUACUAGAAAAGAUGGAGACAAUUGGAAAUUGCAGAGUUUGGAGAAAAUGAAAGACAAAGUGCGAGAUUGGUUACACUAUGCUCAGAUUAAAGAAGUUUUUAAAAAUGAUAAGAAACUAGGGUUCCAGGUGGAGAAAUCGAAAUUAGAAACAGAAUUGUUAGAACCAAAGACUAAGAUACUUUCAAGGAUGUAUAACUUGCUGUUGGAAUGGAAUACACAAGAUGAAAUGGUCAAAUCGGCUAUGAUAAGGUGGGCACAGGAUAUUGGGCAUAAUAUUAUGUUUGAGGACUGGGAAAGGCUGUGGAGUAAUGGAUUGAAAUUUACUGCAUGUAAUGCUUUGAAAGAAAAUGUAAUGAAAAUGAUUUAUAGAUGGUAUAUGACCCCAGUCAAACUCGCAAAAAUUUACCACCUGUCUGAUAACAAGUGCUGGAAAUGUAAAGAGUGUGAAGGAACGUUCUUUCACCUCUGGUGGACCUGCCCUAAAGUGAAGGCGUUCUGGGAAAUGAUUUAUAAUGAAUUGAAAAAGGUAUUUAAAUAUACUUUCACUAAGAAACCAGAGGCUUUCCUUUUGGGUAUUGUCAGCCAAGGGGUGGCAAAGAAGGACCAGACAUUUUUAUGUAUGCAACAACAGCAGCAAGGAUACUACUCGCAAAACAUUGGAAAACUCAAGAUCUACCCACACUGGAAGAAUGGCAGAUGCAACUGAUAGACUAUAUGCAACUGGCUGAAAUGACUGGCAGAAUCCGUGACCUGGGAGAAGAGAGAAUCGAGGAGGAUUGGAAGAAAUUUAAGAACUAUCUACAAAAACAUUGUGAUUUGACUGAAUGCUGAAUAAGAUGCUAGACUAAAUAACUGAGCACCACUUAACUUAGAAGUUUUUAAGAAAGUAAGAAAAACUGUGAAAGUUUAACUCUUUAUGAGAACUUUAAGAUUAUGAAAUACCAAAGAGAUAUAAGAACUUAAAUAAGAUGAUAAAUUGCUGACAAAAUGUUAUAAUGAUGAAGGUGGGAGCGGGAGGUGUGAGGAAGUCCAAAGAAAAUGUGAAAUUAUGUUAAGACGAAUGUUAUAUUGUUUAUUACACUUAUUCUUAUUGUAAAAUCCAAUAAAUUGCUUUAAAAAAAAAAAAAAAAUAGCUUGACUCCCAUGAACAAAUUAAGGACUCACUUCAAUGAGAUGAAUGCAAGAAAACUGGCUAUGUUCCCAAAGGAUGAUGAGACCCAUCCUCAGAAUCAUGAUAAAACUGUUCUGGACUACAGUUGUACCUCCGCUUACGUAUCUCUCCGUUUACGUAAGCUUUGGGAUAUGUAACCAGCAAACCUGGAAGUAUAUUUCUGGGUUUUUGCCGCACACGCAUGUGCAGAAGCACUGUACCGCCGUGCGUGCGCAGAAGCGGUCCCUCCAGUUGCAGAAACCUCGGGAUCCGACUGGAGCUCUGGAACAGAUCCCGUCCGCAACCGGAGGUACCACUGUAUACCACUUUAUGCUGCUGGUGGAAUUUGAAUGUUCAUCCAUGGGGAUGGGAAGACAUCCUCUGACCAUAGAAAAAUAGCAUGCUGGGAAGAAUAGUUUGCUGUAUGGUCCUUUCUUCCUGAACUGCUAGAUUUCUAUAUGAAGGAAACAUUUUGAAUGUGACAGCAUUCAAACGCUCCAUCUGCAGCUUGAAAUGGUAGUCCAUGAAAAGUUUUACUAGUUGGUUCCAUUGCAUAUAUAACCUUGCCCUAAGGCUGGAGGGUGGCAGUGGAUUGAAUCCAAUUCUGAUUCUUCCUGUGGUUACCCACACCAACUUCCAUAUUGUAACAAAAGCCUAGUGCCUGUCCCUCUCUCUGCCAAGCAGUGGCCGUUCGCUUUGGAGAACAGAAGACAUGGCGGAGACUGUCGUGCUUUAUGAAAUAGGGCUUAUGUACCUAUUUACACCUUCAGUUUGCAAAGAGGGAGUCCAGAUUUUACAGCAUGGUCUACAGCAGUGCAGAGACCUUUCCUGCCUUACUUCCUCCUUCUUCUUCCCAGGAAUCCAUACUUUGAAACUCCCUUUUCCUGCCCCCUUAAACACACAGCCGACAACCUUUGUGACAUCUUACUCCCCAGGUCAAAGGAUCCUUCUAUGGCCCACCAACACAUUUUUAUAAUGCUAACAGAUCUGCUCUUCCCCCAGCCAGCCAGGCUGGUUUACAUAAACCACCCCAGGAAUUUCCUUAAUUCCCUGUCUGGCACAGUUAUGUACUUUAAUCCACAUCCUGAUUCAUCAAAUUCCUAGUAUUUAUUCAUUCCUAGUGUUUAGGGGACACCCCCCCCAAUUCUGAUGCGGGUGGCGCUGUGAUCUAAACCAAUGAGCCUCUUGGGCUUGCCCAUGAAGGUCAAUGGUUCGAAUCCCCGCAAAGGGGUGAACUCCCGUUGCUCGGUCCCUGCUCCUGCCAACCUAGCAGUUCAAAAGCAUUCCAGUACAAGUAGAUAAAUAGGUAGCACUCCGGCGGGAAGGUAAACAGCGUUUCCAUAUGCUGCUCUGGUUUCAGUGUUCUGUUGCGCCAGAAGUGGCUUAGUCAUGCUGGCCACAUGUCCCGGAAAAACUGUCUGUGGACAAACACUGGCUCCCUCAGCCUGUAAAGUGACAUGAGCGCCACGACCCCAAAGUCGUCUGCGACUGGACUUAACUGUCAGGGGUCCUUUACCUUUACCUCCGCCCCCCAAUUCUAUAACAAUAUUGUUCUGGAGUCCCCUGCCCAACCACCUGGAGCAGAUUUUCAUGGGUUGCAGGUCGAAGGGGGAACUAGUAAACAUUUCUUCAUCUCCCCCUUCUGUUAGGGGUCAUGCCUGCUGGGUCAAAAGUCCCUAUGAGAGUGGAAGGUUGCAAUUUGAUGCAAUUAGUUUGAGAAAGGGUUCACUUUCUAUAGUGUACUUUUUUUCUCCCACUAUCGAUUCUGAUCAGAGAAAUUUUGCACAUUGUGUUGUGCAAAAUGUGUUUACCGGAGUAUAUACAGUAUACCACAGGCAGCUACUCCUGUUUCAAAUUUUCUUCAGCUGUUUCAGAAUAUUGUCUGUUUCUACCUUUAUUGCAUGUAGCUGGUGGUUUCCAGCAUAUUCCUCUGUGGGUACCAUGUGUAAUGAGUUCUGCAUCAGAUUGUUCAUAUGCAUCUCCCUUCUUGGAUCAGUGUGACAUUGAGGUGUUGCAGUGCUAUACAAAUGCAAAGUAUUUUUAGGAUUUAUUUGCACACAACAAUCUAUGUCAGGGUGAUGAACUGGAUCUAGCCGGCAGGCAAAAUCCUAGGUUCCCCCACCUUAGGUGGGUCAUUUUGAGAGGUGGGUGGGUCUUGCCCACCUGUCAAUCACCUAACACCACUAUGACUCCAGGCGACCCAUUUUUCCCCUUUGUAAUCCAGCCAAGUGACUUUAAGUUAAUGCCAAUCAGCAACCCUGACUUCAAGCACCUCUUUCUGCAGCGGCAGCUGUGUGGAGUUCCUCAUGACAAACUCAGUAGUUUGUUGAUCCCAGGGAGUUUGAAAUCGGCACUGACUUCAAACUCUGUUCUCAGCUUUCAGCUCGGCUCAGCUGUGCUAUGGAGCUUCCAAAAGCAGUGGAAAUGAGAGUGAGAAGGAGGAAUGCAUCUCUUCAGCUAUUCGCGAGACUGACAAGGAAUGAAAUUGGGUGUGGAGCCAGAAGUCAUAUGUAAAAG
This 8363-nucleotide long non-coding RNA is filed under the name Podarcis lilfordi (Lilford's wall lizard). Lineage: Eukaryota; Metazoa; Chordata; Lepidosauria; Squamata; Lacertidae. The record is from RNAcentral.